This 253-nucleotide ribosomal RNA is filed under the name uncultured bacterium. RNAcentral's name for it is "partial 16S ribosomal RNA". It matches the Rfam family "Bacterial small subunit ribosomal RNA", at positions 524 to 776 of the family's 1533-position model. The record is from RNAcentral.
UACGUAGGGUGCGAGCGUUAAUCGGAAUUACUGGGCGUAAAGCGUGCGCAGGCGGUUCUGUAAGUCAGAUGUGAAAGCCCCGGGCUCAACCUGGGAACUGCGUUUGAAACUACAGGACUGGAGUAUGGCAGAGGGGGGUAGAAUUCCACGUGUAGCAGUGAAAUGCGUAGAGAUGUGGAGGAAUACCGAUGGCGAAGGCAGCCCCCUGGGUUGAGAUUGACGCUCAUGCACGAAAGCGUGGGGAGCAAACAGG